GACGAACGCUGGCGGCGGGCUUAACACAUGCAAGUCGAACGGAAAGGCCCUGCUUUUGUGGGGUGCUCGAGUGGCGAACGGGUGAGUAACACGGGAGUAACCUGCCCUGGACGUUGGGAUAACUUCAGGAAACUGGGGAUAAUACCGGAUAGGUGCUCCUGCUGCAUGGUGGGGGUUGGAAAGUUUCGGCGGUUGGGGAUGGACGCGGGGCUUAUCAGCUUGUGGGUGGGGGAGUGGCUUACCAAGGCUUUGACGGGUAGCCGGCCUGAGAGGGUGACCGGCCACCUUGGGCCUGCGAUACGGCCCAGACUCCUACGGGGGGCAGCAGUGGGGAAUAUUGCCCAAUGGUCGGAAGCCUGAUGCAGAAACGCCGCGUGCGGGAUGACGGCCUUCGGGUUGUAAACCGCUUUCGCCUGUGACGAAGCGUGAGUGACGGUAAUGGGUAAAGAAGCACCGGCUAACUACGUG
Molecule: ribosomal RNA, 468 nt
Filed under: uncultured bacterium
Lineage: Bacteria
Description: partial 16S ribosomal RNA
Rfam family: Bacterial small subunit ribosomal RNA
Source: RNAcentral